AUGGAGCUGAUUUUAAGGAAGAGGUGUUCUUCACUAUUACCAGUUUGGUCAAGAGACUACUCGGGAAUCCCAGCUUACUCUCCAAGCCAAGGCUGUGAUCUGACUGUACCCCACAGAAGGCCUGCACAGCUCACAGAGGGAAGCUAAACAGCCUACUGAAGACUAGUGGUUCUCAGCCUUUAUUGAUCUACAGAUGCCUGCAUAUUUUCCCUUGGAAAUGUAAACACCUGCCUAAAAUGUAAGCCUCUGGUUUUUCAGUUACCUUACAGACCUCUUAAAUGUUGUCCACGGACCACAAGGUGAAGGUCAGUACUUGAGAGCGAUCAUUAUGCACACCCAGCAGGUAGCCUACAAUUUCAAAGUCUCUCACUUAGUUCCCUUUUUUUGCCAUACAGGUACACAUUCAACUCUUCUUGGAGGUCCCUGCUCUGUAUUUCCUCUGCAGGAAAGACUAGUUCCCCACCCCCACCCCCCCUCUCACUCCAUUCUCACAAACAUCAGUUGAUCUGGAGCACUUUCCCCACGCGUGGUUAAUCAGCCUUGCAUAUGAAAGACGAUGCCAAAUGCCCCAAACUAUAGCUGCAUCCACAAUCCAAAAACAUAUCCUAAUUCAGCAGCAAAACUAGGCAUAGACUCUAGUUCUUUGGUGUCAUGAUUUCUUGCAGUUUUUUUUUUUUUUUCCAUUCAUUACAUAGACACUACAUGAAAUCGAAAUGUUUGUUGGACCAAGUCACUACAUCUGUUGAGUACUUUGGUGUUCUACUAUACAGAAACAAGAAACCAUGCACACAAAUUUAAUCUGUUGUACCUGAAAUGACGAUUGGACAGGUACCUAUCAUGUAGUUAGCGAAAUGUACAAAAAAAUUUCAUUCUAUGUUCAGAACUGUACUAGUAAACCUGGGCAGCUUUUGGGUACAUUACCUGCAAAAUCCUAGACAAGAUAUAUAUCCUUUUGUUGAUAUAAAGAUGAUAAAAUAAUUGAUAAAAAUAUAGAAGACAAGCAGAAUCUCCUAGUUAUAUUCUAUAUUAUGAAGAAAAUUGGAUGAUGUAGACAAAUCUAUGAAGUAAUGAAUUAUUACCUAUUGCCAAUGAUAGCUAUGAAGACGUUUAGUUCCACCCAUAAAACAUCCUAGAAUUUGCAUAGCUAUAAACUCACAAUCAAGAAUUUUGAAAGAAUCAUCUGGCAAGCAAAUGGAAACAAUGGCCUUUCCUUUCAAAACAACUUUGGAGUUUGAGUGUGUUCCAGAAAGCCAGUAAAUACUUUCAUUUUAAAAGUAUUUGAAAAAUAAGAGGGAUCAUCUCGGUAGCUUAGAAGCCAGUUGACCUAAUGCUGACUUGGCAAAAUCAAAGCGUAAUCUAUUUGGGUUACACUCAGCUAAGAAAGGAAACAUAAUAGUAUUUGAUUUAAUUGAAUGAAAAAGAUCUCAUUAGAAGAAUUGCAUGUUCUUUUGUGGCAAUGUAAGUUUGGUACUUCAAGAUGGUCCAGGAUUAAUAUAGCAAGACUUGCAUCUAAGUACAACACAGCCUGGUCCUUUUGUAAAGGAAAAGAAAGGCAAUAGCUAAGUGCUACAGGAGGGAGCCAAGCCUUACUGGGAGACACCUACACCAGCUCAAUUAAAUUCAGUUGUUUGGAAAGAUGAAUACAGCAGCUCGAUCACGGGCAUGUAACUCAUUAGAAAAGAUUUUUGAUAGCAGAAGACUUUAAUGUACUGAAGAAAGGUGUAAUAAGACCUUAUGAGAAGGAAAAGAAAAUAAAAAAAGAAGAGAAUGGCAGCUUCAAUGGCAGUGAAAACCAGCAAAAUAAGCGACAUGGUUGAUCAACCAUAGGGCUUUAAAUUGUGCAAGUUUAAAAUCUUUCUUGAAGAUUUAACUGAAUUAUAGACCAGCAAUGCUAUCAUUAGUCAUGGCUGAGAUUCCAUUACCAUGUUGUGGGUGACUUUUCUAAAUGAUUUCCAGCCUACAUGAUGUUUCCUUUUAAAGCAAUGAGAAUUUGCAGAAUCCAGCUAAGAAGUGACAACCGAUUCAGGAAAGGACAAGGAGUGCUGCCACAUUCCAGCGAAGACUCAAGAUGCAAACUAACACACAACUCCAGAAUCAAUACCAAGUCUUCUUCGGUAUACACAUAGGGGAACAAAUGGAUUGGCAUUAAGAAGAAAAUGCGGAGUUAAAGAUUUCAGGAAGCUGAAGAGGAAGGACCACAGGAUCUUGCUGGAGAAUAUCCCAUUCCUGCAAGUGGAAGUUAAAUAUUUGAACUGCUGUCAGCUUGAGAAUACAAAUCUGACAAAGCCACACUCUGAAACUUGAGGCUUCUCCAUAGUGGAUAACUGUGUAUGGAUGUUAUGCUUUGCAUCCUGCAUGUAGCUACUAUACUGUUUCGGUUACCCUGAGGCACUCUGAAUGUGUUAAGCAGCCUCAGAAAUUCAAAGAGAAAGACCUGAUAAAAACUCAACUAGGUGACAAUGAGAAUGAAGUAUUUUUCAUUGUUUCUACCCAGAUUCCUGUUGCUGGUGUAAACAGAAAUAAGAAAUUCAACUGAUUGGGGGGGAAAAAAAAGUCCAGGAAUAAAGUGGCACUUCUGAAACUCAAUGGGAAAGCACCUUAAUAAAAGCCAGUUUCCUCCUGUGUGAUAGUAAGUUACAGAAACAGCAGCAAACUGCACAAACAUAAGCAGUACCUUUGAAAUUACCAGUAACAAAAGAAUUGUACAGCCUUAAAUACACAGACAUCCCUGUGCUUGGUAAUAGAUUCCAAGAAGGAAGGAUAGAAGACAUAAGAAAACAAUGCACCAAACAAGGGAAGGUGAUCUCAAGCACCUUUAACACAAAACAAACAAAACAACAACAAACCUCACAACACUGCAAGAAAUGUUUUAACUUGCAAGACAUUCCCCAAGGUAUUCAAGCAGUCAGCCAAAUAUCCUUCCCAUUUUCAAAAUUAAUUUCCUUAAAACUGGACGCUGCACCCAAAACAAGUCGAUUUCUCAGAGUUCAACACGAUGCAUACAAGACAUGGCAAUGUGAGUGCAAACUGGCAGUUUUAUAUGUUCGUAUUGAACAUGGGCCUGUGGAGGAGAGCUACAGGCAGUAAUAAACCUAUGCAUAGUCUGUGCUUCACAAAGCAAAUUCCAAGGUGAGCAAACUUGUGAACUGAGUUGUCUGGAAGAAAAAAAAAAAUGUAAGGCAGGAAAAUGUGAAUGAAAACUAUUCUUUAAUUAAAAUAUGAUUGUAUGGCCAAAAACAUCCCAAUUCCACAAAGCUUUCAGGAAAAGCUUGUUCUGGGUUCAGUGAGAAAGUCUGUGAGCAAGAAAAAACAACUGAAACAAGGGGGGAAAAAAAAGACAAAAGGCCAAAAUACAACACAUGGAAAAGGGGAAGGCCAGACAAAUGAGAUAAAACAAAUAUUAUUAGAUAGAGAAAAAAAAAACCCUCAAAAACUAGUAAGGAAAAAUUUGUGGCAAGCAAAACCACCGAUAAAAGGAAAGGAAUUUUGGAGCUUUCAUUUGUUUUUGUUUCAUGUGUUUUUGUUGGUUUUGGUUGUUGUUGUUGUUGUUGUUUUAAUAAAAAGCAGACAAAUAAAUACUGCUAAUAUCCAUGCUAAGUAAAAAUGAUUAAACUGCUAGAGAAUAAAGAAAAUCAGUCAGCAAAUACUUCUAAUCCCAUAGUCAGAAACAGAACGUGGCAGGAGUAUGAAAAUAGCAACUUCUCUUCAGUACCGUAGUAUCAAAGCAAGAAAUCAGACAACAUCUAUUGGGGACAUAUAUUUUUAAGUCAGUAAAGAAACAGUCCUAGAAGAGUGGACUAGCAAGCUCUCUAGCCCAGCAGUUCCAAUUUUAAUUAAAUGUGGGAUAUUAGAGAAAUACUGUAAGACAUUCACGACAGUAUUCCCAAAAUGCAAAUGAAAGGACUCAGCAUCAAAAUCAGUCUGAGGCAAAAUAAUGGAAAACCCGUUAAGAUGAAGAAUGAAUGAAUGAGUGAAGAAUGAAUCCUAUAACCCAAAGAUUUACGAAAUACAGGUUUUGUAGAGGGGAAAAAAAAAAUGAAACCCUGGAUUCAUUCAUUGAUGACAUCAUUAUACGUUUGGUUUAACAAAGGGGACUGCAUAGGUGCAACAUACUUAAAUUUUCAUAAGGCAUUGACCUAGCACCAUAAGUCAAAAAGAUUUACUGUACAUAAUCACAUACUAAGAGGAUUAAGAAAUGCCUUCUAGCCUGCAAGUCUCAAAAAGAAGCUAAUAAAAAGUUGCACUGAAUGAUGCUUUUCAAGUUAGUGUAGGUCAGAUGGAUCUGAAAGUUAAAAAGUAACAACUGAUACAGUUUGUGGGUGACAAAAACUGGCAAAAGUGGCUUGUGACCUGGACCACUAUAAGCCAGGUCAAACAAAAUGGACUUUGAGACCGUCUCACAUUAAACAAACAGGAAAUAAGAACUCUGACUAUAUAGAAAGGGGAAAAGAUUACCAUAGGAAGCUGAGAUUUCUGAUGAUUUAGAAUUGCACCAGAUAAGCAGCUAACAUGAGCUCCUGUAUAAUGCUGGAGAAAAGAGAAAAUGCAAUCCUCUGCAGACUUAAGGCAAAGGGAAGGGCAACCUUGUGCAUGGCACUGGAGAUUGAACACUUAAUUCAGAAAUGAAUGUUUUUACAGGAUUCAGAAAAAAUUGACAUGAUGUGAAAAUAAAAGACAAUAAUUCACAGGCAGGAGGAAAUCCUUUAUAGUGGAAGACUGAAGGAGUUCCCUCUACUUAGAUUGUAAAAAGUAGAUUUUGAGAGAUGCUAGUGUUUUAAAUACCAGGUCAGAGGAGGAAGCUCGAAGGUUCUCUAAAUCAGUAGGAUGGAUCUGAACUGGAAGCCAAAGGCAACCAAAUCCAAGAGAAACCAGACUUAGAUAUUUAGAGAGCAAGAACACAAAGCCCUUGCAGCGGGUUACCAAUGGAAGGGAUUUGCUGUAUCCCUGUGCCUCAAAAUCAAGCCAAUACAUUCUGUGAACGUGCACUUACAAUACACCUUAGCUAUCGAGGCUCAGUGCAGAAUAAAUAGCUUGAAAUGUCACCUGUAAAAUGUAGGAGUCAGGUAUUCUCUUCUAGCCUCAUCUGUGAACCUACAAAAAACUUCAGCCACUUGCAGCCAAGCCUGCUGACUAAACACAGAGAAGCAACUCUCUGCCACAGACUACCCAGGUGCAGAGCUCCAACUUUCACUACGCAAACCACAAGGCUGCCUGAAGACAGGGAUGCAUUACGGUGCUCGGUGCUUGCAGCAGCAAGAUGCUCGUGCUGCAGUCUGGUGCGUGGGGAAGGAACACACGGCACAGGGGCAGGGUGCCUGCAGUAGCACCUCUGAGGAGCCUUUUACACCAGUUUAUUUCUACACAAGGUGAUUAAAAAAAAAAAAGAAAAGCUCCUUUUGUUUGUUCGUACAGAAAUCUGAAACUAUAGGCUUUGAGUGGGUAUUUUAAAAUCCCAACACAUGCUUUUUUCCCUUGCCUUUUCAUUUGAGUCAGCCUCCACGAUCCAAAGGAACUAAGAAGUGAUACACAAGACCAUAGUCAUGUGGACCAAAAAAAAAAAAAAAAAAUUAAAACAAACAAACAAACCAAAA
Long non-coding RNA from Lagopus muta (rock ptarmigan), 5591 nucleotides. RefSeq lists it as uncharacterized. The transcript is spliced from 2 exons. The record is from RefSeq and is a predicted model, not a curated record. NCBI's taxonomy places the organism in Eukaryota, Metazoa, Chordata, Aves, Galliformes, Phasianidae.